CGGUAGCACAGAGAGCUUGCUCUCGGGUGACGAGUGGCGGACGGCUGAGUAAUGUCUGGGAAACUGCCUGAUGGAGGGGGAUAACUACUGGAAACGGUAGCUAAUACCGCAUAACGUCGCAAGACCAAAGAGGGGGACCUUCGGGCCUCUUGCCAUCAGAUGUGCCCAGAUGGGAUUAGCUAGUAGGCGGGGUAACGGCCCACCUAGGCGACGAUCCCUAGCUGGUCUGAGAGGAUGACCAGCCACACUGGAACUGAGACACGGUCCAGACUCCUACGGGAGGCAGCAGUGGGGAAUAUUGCACAAUGGGCGCAAGCCUGAUGCAGCCAUGCCGCGUGUGUGAAGAAGGCCUUCGGGUUGUAAAGCACUUUCAGCGGGGAGGAAGGCGGUACGGUUAAUAACCGUGCUGAUUGACGUUACCCGCAGAAGAAGCACCGGCUAACUCCGUGCCAGCAGCCGCGGUAAUACGGAGGGUGCAAGCGUUAAUCGGAAUUACUGGGCGUAAAGCGCACGCAGGCGGUCUGUCAAGUCGGAUGUGAAAUCCCCGGGCUCAACCUGGGAACUGCAUUCGAAACUGGCAGGCUGGAGUCUCGUAGAGGGAGGUAGAAUUCCAGGUGUAG
Molecule: ribosomal RNA, 620 nt
Filed under: Kosakonia oryzae
Lineage: Bacteria; Pseudomonadati; Pseudomonadota; Gammaproteobacteria; Enterobacterales; Enterobacteriaceae
Description: bacterial SSU rRNA
Rfam family: Bacterial small subunit ribosomal RNA
Source: RNAcentral